UGGCUCAGAUGGUAAAGCAUCUGCCUAUAAUGCAGGAGACCCUGGUUCGAUCCCUGG
RNAcentral lists this transfer RNA (57 nucleotides) under Ovis aries (sheep). It matches the Rfam family "tRNA", at positions 8 to 63 of the family's 71-position model. From Rfam's summary of the family: Transfer RNA (tRNA) molecules are approximately 80 nucleotides in length. Their secondary structure includes four short double-helical elements and three loops (D, anti-codon, and T loops). Further hydrogen bonds mediate the characteristic L-shaped molecular structure. tRNAs have two regions of fundamental functional importance: the anti-codon, which is responsible for specific mRNA codon recognition, and the 3' end, to which the tRNAs corresponding amino acid is attached (by aminoacyl-tRNA synthetases). tRNAs cope with the degeneracy of the genetic code in two manners: having more than one tRNA (with a specific anti-codon) for a particular amino acid; and 'wobble' base-pairing, i.e. permitting non-standard base-pairing at the 3rd anti-codon position. The record is from Rfam by way of RNAcentral. Lineage: Eukaryota; Metazoa; Chordata; Mammalia; Artiodactyla; Bovidae.